This 499-nucleotide ribosomal RNA is filed under the name uncultured bacterium. Its description in RNAcentral is "bacterial SSU rRNA". It matches the Rfam family "Bacterial small subunit ribosomal RNA", at positions 26 to 518 of the family's 1533-position model. The record is from RNAcentral.
AGGAUGAACGCUAGCGGCAGGCUAACACAUGCAAGUCGAGGGGCAGCGUGGAGUAGCAAUACUCUGACGGCGACCGGCGAAAGGGUGAGUAACGCGUGAGCAACAUGCCCGGUAGUGGAGGAUAGUCGAUGGAAACGUCGUGUAAUACUCCGUAACAACAGAGACCGCAUGAUCUUUGUUUAAUAGAUUUAUUGCUAUCGGAUUGGCUCGCGUACCAUUAGCUAGUUGGCGGGUAACGGCCCACAAGGCGACGAUGGUUAGGGGUUCUGAGAGGAAGGUCCCCCACAUUGGAACUGAGACACGGUCCAGACUCCUACGGGAGGCAGCAGUGAGGAAUAUUGGACAAUGGCCGGAAGGACUGAUCCAGCCAUGCCGCGUGCGGGGAAAAGACGGCCCUAUGGGUUGUAAACCGCUUUUGUUGGGGAGCAAUAAGGUCCACGUGUGGAUCGAUGAGAGUACCCAGCGAAUAAGCAUCGGCUAACUCCGUGCCAGCAGCUGC